GUGGGGAAUAUUGGACAAUGGGCGAAAGCGUGAUCCAGCCAUGCCGCGUGUGUGAAGAAGGUCUUCGGAUUGUAAAGCACUUUAAGUGGGAGGAAGGGCAGUUACCUAAUAUGUAAUGUAGACGUACUGACAGCGAG
RNAcentral lists this ribosomal RNA (137 nucleotides) under uncultured bacterium. RNAcentral describes it as "partial 16S ribosomal RNA". It matches the Rfam family "Bacterial small subunit ribosomal RNA", at positions 354 to 490 of the family's 1533-position model. The record is from RNAcentral.